RNAcentral lists this long non-coding RNA (486 nucleotides) under Carica papaya (papaya). RNAcentral describes it as "long non-coding RNA (CPAP_LNC000829)". Lineage: Eukaryota; Viridiplantae; Streptophyta; Magnoliopsida; Brassicales; Caricaceae. The record is from RNAcentral.
CCAUAUAGAAAAUGAAUGAAUUAAACAAUAUGGACAUGCAAGUGUAUAUGCAGAAAUACGUAUAAGAUUUACUAAGAAUAAAGAAUUUAAUUGAUUAAUCGAGUAUAAAAAAUGACGACAACAUCAGUAAAAAUAUAAGAAAACAUUAAAGCACAAAAGGGUAGCAAGGAUCAAGCAACACUAUAGUUCUUCAACGUUUUUUGCCUUUACCGCCACUUAUAUUUUCCCAAACAGAGAUCCAAUCAUCCUCAGAAUGUAAUCCUUUAACUUGAUUGCAACCUUGCUCGCAAGCGAGUGAACACUUAUCUUGAGUUGUACUUCCUGCUUUCAAGCAUGCAAGCACGCAUUUUCCAAUGCACUUUGCGCUUGCUGCCGAACAAAAUUCGACGGUGUAAGCCAUUACAACCAUCCCAAUUAUUAACAUGCCUACGGAGUUCUUGGUGGCCAUUUGGGUGAUGUUGCUUUAAUUUUUUCUUUUGUUGGAUG